GAACGCUAGCUACAGGCUUAACACAUGCAAGUCGAGGGGCAGCAUGGUCUUAGCUUGCUAAGGCCGAUGGCGACCGGCGCACGGGUGAGUAACACGUAUCCAACCUGCCGUCUACUCUUGGACAGCCUUCUGAAAGGAAGAUUAAUACAAGAUGGCAUCAUGAGUCCGCAUGUUCACAUGAUUAAAGGUAUUCCGGUAGACGAUGGGGAUGCGUUCCAUUAGAUAGUAGGCGGGGUAACGGCCCACCUAGUCUUCGAUGGAUAGGGGUUCUGAGAGGAAGGUCCCCCACAUUGGAACUGAGACACGGUCCAAACUCCUACGGGAGGCAGCAGUGAGGAAUAUUGGUCAAUGGGCGAGAGCCUGAACCAGCCAAGUAGCGUGAGGGAUGACUGCCCUAUGGGUUGUAAACUUCUUUUAUAAAGGAAUAAAGUCGGGUAUGGAUACCCGUUUGCAUGUACUUUAUGAAUAAGGAUCGGCUAACUCCGUGCCAGCAGCCGCGGUAAUACGGAGGAUCCGAGCGUUAUCCGGAUUUAUUGGGUUUAAAGGGAGCGUAGAUGGAUGUUUAAGUCAGUUGUGAAAGUUUGCGGCUCAACCGUAAAAUUGCAGUUGAUACUGGAUAUCUUGAGUGCAGUUGAGGCAGGCGGAAUUCGUGGUGUAGCGGUGAAAUGCUUAGAUAUCACGAAGAACUCCGAUUGCGAAGGCAGCCUGCUAAGCUGCAACUGACAUUGAGGCUCGAAAGUGUGGGUAUCAAACAGGAUUAGAUACCCUGGUAGUCCACACGGUAAACGAUGAAUACUCGCUGUUUGCGAUAUACAGCAAGCGGCCAAGCGAAAGCGUUAAGUAUUCCACCUGGGGAGUACGCCGGCAACGGUGAAACUCAAAGGAAUUGACGGGGGCCCGCACAAGCGGAGGAACAUGUGGUUUAAUUCGAUGAUACGCGAGGAACCUUACCCGGGCUUAAAUUGCAGAUGAAUUACGGUGAAAGCCGUAAGCCGCAAGGCAUCUGUGAAGGUGCUGCAUGGUUGUCGUCAGCUCGUGCCGUGAGGUGUCGGCUUAAGUGCCAUAACGAGCGCAACCCUUGUUGUCAGUUACUAACAGGUUCCGCUGAGGACUCUGACAAGACUGCCAUCGUAAGAUGUGAGGAAGGUGGGGAUGACGUCAAAUCAGCACGGCCCUUACGUCCGGGGCUACACACGUGUUACAAUGGGGGGUACAGAGGGCCGCUACCACGCGAGUGGAUGCCAAUCCCCAAAACCUCUCUCAGUUCGGACUGGAGUCUGCAACCCGACUCCACGAAGCUGGAUUCGCUAGUAAUCGCGCAUCAGCCACGGCGCGGUGAAUACGUUCCCGGGCCUUGUACACACCGCCCGUCAAGCCAUGGGAGCCGGGGGUACCUGAAGUGCGUAACCGCGAGGAGCGCCCUAGGGUAAAACUGGUGACUGGGGCUAAGU
RNAcentral lists this ribosomal RNA (1451 nucleotides) under uncultured organism. RNAcentral's name for it is "SSU rRNA". It matches the Rfam family "Bacterial small subunit ribosomal RNA". The record is from RNAcentral.